AAUAGAUACCCUGGUAGUCUACGCCGUAAACGAUGAGUGCUAAGUGUUAGAGGGUUUCCGCCCUUUAGUGCUGCAGCUAACGCAUUAAGCACUCCGCCUGGGGAGUACGGUCGCAAGACUGAAACUCAAAGGAAUUGACGGGGGCCCGCACAAGCGGUGGAGCAUGUGGUUUAAUUCGAAGCAACGCGAAGAACCUUACCAGGUCUUGACAUCCCACUGACCGGUAUAGAGAUAUACCUUUCCCUUCGGGGACAGUGGUGACAGGUGGUGCAUGGUUGUCGUCAGCUCGUGUCGUGAGAUGUUGGGUUAAGUCCCGCAACGAGCGCAACCCUUGAUCUUAGUUGCCAGCAUUUAGUUGGGCACUCUAAGGUGACUGCCGGUGACAAACCGGAGGAAGGUGGGAAUGACGUCAAAUCAUCAUGCCCCUUAUGACCUGGGCUACACACGUGCUACAAUGGAUGGUACAAAGGGCUGCAAGACUGCGAAGUCAAGCCAAUCCCAUAAAACCAUUCUCAGUUCGGAUUGCAGG
RNAcentral lists this ribosomal RNA (529 nucleotides) under uncultured bacterium. Its description in RNAcentral is "bacterial SSU rRNA". It matches the Rfam family "Bacterial small subunit ribosomal RNA", at positions 777 to 1304 of the family's 1533-position model. The record is from RNAcentral.